AACUUGAGCUGAGAGGUGGAGGUGUGUGGCCAGCCAUGGUCAUGGAGGAGGCAGAAGCAGCGGCGCCGGCGGCGUUUGGUGGGUUCCCGGCGGAGGUACGGCCGGGGGCGACGCGGGUGGGGUGGGUCGGCAUCGGCGUCAUGGGCGGCGCCAUGGCGGCGCGGCUCCUGGCCGCCGGGUACGCCGUGACGGCCUACGCGCGCGCGCCGGCCAAGGCGGCGCCGCUGGUCGCCGCCGGCGCGCGCCUCGCGGAUUCCCCCGCCUCCGCGGCCGCGGCCUCCGACGUGGUCUUCACCAUGGUCGGCAACCCGGGCGACGUGCGCGCCGUCGUCCUAGACGCGGCCACGGGCGCGCUCGCGGGGCUCCGCCGGGGCGGCGUCCUGGUGGACUGCACGAGCUCCUCCCCGGCCCUCGCGCGCGAGGUCGCCGCCGCCGCGCGAGCCGCCGGCUCCCACGCCGUCGACGCCCCCGUCUCCGGCGGCGACGUUGGCGCCCGCGACGGGACCCUCGCCGUCCUCGCCGGCGGCGACGAGGCCGUGGUAACCUGGCUGGCUCCCCUCUUCGCGCACCUCGGGAAGCUUAACUACAUGGGCCCACCCGGCAGCGGGCAGAGCAGCAAGAUCGCGAACCAGAUAACCGUAGCCGGGGCUGUAGUCGGCCUCGGCGAGUCCCUGGCCUUCGCGGGCGCCGCCGGGCUAGACACGCGGCUGUUCCUCGGCGCGGUGGCCAAGGGCGCGGCGGGGUCGCGCGUCAUGGACCUCUUCGGCGAGCGCGCGCUGAGCCGCGACUUCGCGACCGGGGGCUCCGUGCGGUACAUCAUCAAGGACCUCGGCAUGGCGCUCGAGGUCGGGGACGGCCAGGAGGAGGAGGUUGGGGCCAAUGUGCUGCCCGGGGCGGCGCUGUUCCGGCAGAUGUUCUCGGCGAUGGCGGCGAACGGCGACGGGGAUCUUUGCUUGCAGGGGUUGAUCACCGUCGUCGAGCGCCUGAACGGCAUUCGCAAUUCUCUGUGCCAAUCUCCUUAUCUCUUUCAGUCCCAGAAACCUUCAGCAUCACAGCAAGAAUGGCAGCACCAGGCUCACUAGGACUUCUCCAGGUGCAGUCCUUCACCACCGCCAAGGGCCGGCCGGUCUUGGCGAGCCGGCGAGCGCCAGGAGUCGUGUUUGCUGUUCGAGCUUCGGCAGCUUCCGCUGCUACAAAGGACGCUGUCCUCAGGCCCUUCCGGGAGAACAGGGCUCUCAAGAUCAUUUCAGGGCUUCAGAAUUUCGACAGGAGCAGUGUUGCGUCUGUUGUCACGGCAGCAGAUAAGGGAGGUGCCACCCAUGUUGAUAUAGCAUGUGACCAGGACUUAGUAAAGCUCGCUAUGGAGCUUACUAACCUUCCGAUUUGUGUCUCUUCUGUAGAUCCUUCAGCAUUCCAUUCUGCAGUAGAAGCUGGUGCAAAGAUGAUUGAGAUUGGAAAUUAUGAUUCUUUUUACGACAUGGGCAUCGAGUUCUCUUCUGAACAGAUACUGAAGCUGACCAGGGAGACGAGGAAGAUGCUUCCAGACAUCACAUUAUCAGUAACAGUUCCUCACACACUGAGCCUCCCAGAUCAGAUGAGACUUGCAGAGCUGCUCGAGGAGGAAGGUGCUGAUAUCAUCCAGACCGAAGGUGGGAAGUGUUCUAGUCCGACAAAACCCGGAGUGCUUGGACUAAUCGAAAAGGCAACACCAACAUUGGCCGCCGCAUACUCCAUCUCUCGGGCCGUCAGCAUACCAGUGAUGUGCGCAUCGGGGCUAAGUUCAGUGACCGCACCAAUGGCAGUAACCGCAGGAGCUGCCGGCGUGGGAGUUGGUUCUGCUGUUAACAAGCUCAACGAUGCCGUGGCGAUGAUCGCCGAGGUGAGGAGCAUUGCGGAGGCUUUAGGGACGGCUUCAAGAAACUUGACCGAGACCCCGAGGACAGUUCACCAUAAGUGCUAACUGUGCUAGGACGCCCAUUUUCUCUGGACAAACUCGAGGUCUCAAAUAAGAAAUCAGGAGGUGUAGCGGCAAUUCGGAAUUUCUCUUGACUGCUGCCUUUUGUGUGCAGGCAACAGGAACUGCACUAGACAAGUGUUGAUUCAGUUCGAUCAGUGUUGUCAUAUCAGAGCAUCAGUUGUAAUGUAACCUCAGAUAGAUGUUGGUUUGUAGGAUAUUGUCUGUUCAAUCAGAUACCAGAUCUUGAUCUUGCAUAUUCGUCACGUCUGGAGUCGCGAAUUAGAAAGAUGGGGGCAAGCAGAACACUGGCUGCCAUCUCAGUUUUUUCACCGGUGUUCAAUGGUGUGUUUCUUAUUAUUACAUGUAUGUAGACGCUUUUUGUGUAUAGAUAUAUUCAUAUUUGGACAAA
RNA transcript from Brachypodium distachyon (stiff brome), 2366 nucleotides. RefSeq lists it as uncharacterized. NCBI's taxonomy places the organism in Eukaryota, Viridiplantae, Streptophyta, Magnoliopsida, Poales, Poaceae. The record is from RefSeq and is a predicted model, not a curated record. The transcript has 11 exons.